CCUACGGGUGGCAGCAGUGAGGAAUAUUGGUCAAUGGACGAGAGUCUGAAGCAGCCAAGUAGCGUGAAGGAUGACUGCCCUAUGGGUUGUAAACCUCUUUUGCCGGGGAGCAACGGGCGUCACGUGUGGCGCCACUGAGAGUACCCGGAGAAAAAGCAUCGGCUAACUCCGUGCCAGCAGCCGCGGUAAUACGGAGGAUGCGAGCGUUAUCCGGAUUUAUUGGGUUUAAAGGGUGCGUAGGCGGAUCGUUAAGUCAGUGGUCAAAUGGAGGGGCUCAACCCCUUCCCGCCAUUGAAACUGGCGUUCUUGAGUGGAAGAGAAGUAUGCGGAAUGCGUGGUGUAGCGGUGAAAUGCAUAGAUAUCACGCAGAACCCCGAUUGCGAAGGCAGCAUGCCGGCUUCCGACUGACGCUGAAGCACGAAAGCGUGGGGAUCGAACAGGAUUAGAUACCCGGGUAGUC
RNAcentral lists this ribosomal RNA (460 nucleotides) under uncultured bacterium. Its description in RNAcentral is "partial 16S ribosomal RNA". It matches the Rfam family "Bacterial small subunit ribosomal RNA", at positions 338 to 795 of the family's 1533-position model. The record is from RNAcentral.